RNAcentral lists this ribosomal RNA (254 nucleotides) under uncultured bacterium. Its description in RNAcentral is "partial 16S ribosomal RNA". It matches the Rfam family "Bacterial small subunit ribosomal RNA", at positions 524 to 777 of the family's 1533-position model. The record is from RNAcentral.
UACAGAGGGGGCAAGCGUUAUUCGGAAUUAUUGGGCGUAAAGGGCGCGUAGGCGGCCUGACAAGUGGAAGGUGAAAUCCCUCGGCUUAACCGAGGAACUGCCCUCCAAACUGUUUGGCUUGAGACCGGGAGAGGUGAGUGGAAUUCCCAGUGUAGCGGUGAAAUGCGUAGAUAUUGGGAGGAACACCAGUGGCGAAGGCGGCUCACUGGACCGGUACUGACGCUGAGGCACGAAAGCGUGGGUAGCAAACAGGG